UACGUAGGGCGCAAGCGUUGUCCGGAAUUAUUGGGCGUAAAGAGCUUGUAGGUGGCUUGUCGCGUCUGCCGUGAAACCCGAGGCUCAACCUCGGGCGUGCGGUGGGUACGGGCAGGCUAGAGUGUGGUAGGGGAGACUGGAACUCCUGGUGUAGCGGUGAAAUGCGCAGAUAUCAGGAAGAAUACCGAUGGCGAAGGCAGGUCUCUGGGCCAUUACUGACACUGAGAAGCGAAAGCAUGGGUAGCGAACAGGAUUAGAUA
This 260-nucleotide ribosomal RNA is filed under the name uncultured prokaryote. Its description in RNAcentral is "partial 16S ribosomal RNA". It matches the Rfam family "Bacterial small subunit ribosomal RNA", at positions 524 to 784 of the family's 1533-position model. The record is from RNAcentral.